AGUCGAGCGGGGACCAGUGGGUAGCAAUAUUCGCUGGUUCUAGCGGCGAACGGGUGCGUAACACGUGGGUAAUCUGCCCUGAAGACCGGGAUAACUGCGCGAAAGCGUGGCUAAUACCGGAUGUGGAGGCCGGAGGACAUCCUCUGGACUCUAAAGCUGGGGAUUCCUUCGGGAACCUGGCGCUUCAGGAUGAGCCCGCGGCCUAUCAGCUCGUUGGCGGGGUAACGGCCCACCAAGGCUAAGACGGGUAGCUGGUCUGAGAGGACGACCAGCCACACUGGAACUGAGACACGGUCCAGACACCUACGGGUGGCAGCAGUCGAGAAUCUUUCACAAUGGGCGAAAGCCUGAUGGAGCGACGCCGCGUGGGGGAUGAAGGGCUUCGGCUCGUAAACCCCUGUCAUGGGCGAGCAACUUCGGCGGGUUAACAGCCUUCCGGAUUGAUAGUAGCCCAAGAGGAAGGGACGGCUAACUCUGUGCCAGCAGCCGCGGUAAUACAGAGGUCCCAAGCGUUGUUCGGAUUCACUGGGCGUAAAGGGUGCGCAGGCGGUGGGGGUAAGUUUGGUGUGAAAUCUCCGGGCUCAACCCGGAAAUGGCAUCAAAUACUAUCCCGCUGGAGGGUUGGAGAGGGGACUGGAAUUCUCGGUGUAGCAGUGAAGUGCGUGGAUUUCGAGAGGAACACCAGUGGCGAAAGCGAGUCUCUGGACAACUCCUGACGCUCCUUGCACGAAGCUACGGGAGCAACAGGAUUAGAUACCCUGGUAGUCCUAGCCCUAACGGUGCACGUUUGCUGUGGGCGGAUUCGAC
This 807-nucleotide ribosomal RNA is filed under the name uncultured bacterium. RNAcentral describes it as "bacterial SSU rRNA". It matches the Rfam family "Bacterial small subunit ribosomal RNA", at positions 60 to 836 of the family's 1533-position model. The record is from RNAcentral.